GACGAACGCUGGCGGCGUGCUUAACACAUGCAAGUCGAACGAAGAGCGAUGGAAGCUUGCUUCUAUCAAUCUUAGUGGCGAACGGGUGAGUAACGCGUAAUCAACCUGCCCUUCAGAGGGGGACAACAGUUGGAAACGACUGCUAAUACCGCAUACGAUCUAAUCUCGGCAUCGAGGAUAGAUGAAAGGUGGCCUCUACAUGUAAGCUAUCACUGAAGGAGGGGAUUGCGUCUGAUUAGCUAGUUGGAGGGGUAACGGCCCACCAAGGCGAUGAUCAGUAGCCGGUCUGAGAGGAUGAACGGCCACAUUGGGACUGAGACACGGCCCAGACUCCUACGGGAGGCAGCAGUGGGGAAUCUUCCGCAAUAGACGAAAGUCUGACGGAGCAACGCCGCGUGAGUGAAGACGGCCUUCGGGUUGUAAAGCUCUGUUAAUCGGGACGAAAGGCCUUCUUGCGAAUAGUGAGAAGGAUUGACGGUACCGGAAUAGAAAGCCACGGCUAACUACGUG
RNAcentral lists this ribosomal RNA (510 nucleotides) under uncultured bacterium. Its description in RNAcentral is "partial 16S ribosomal RNA". It matches the Rfam family "Bacterial small subunit ribosomal RNA", at positions 28 to 507 of the family's 1533-position model. The record is from RNAcentral.